Molecule: long non-coding RNA, 242 nt
Filed under: Amborella trichopoda
Lineage: Eukaryota; Viridiplantae; Streptophyta; Magnoliopsida; Amborellales; Amborellaceae
Description: long non-coding RNA (ATRI_LNC005388)
Source: RNAcentral
AAUUUAAAAAUGUAGGAUGAAGGUGCACCUUAAAAAUUCGAGGAAAAUUUAGUUUUGAUAUUAGAAAAAUCUCUAAUUGAUUAUUUAGACGUUUAAGAGGUGUGAAUAGGAAGACACAAUAUUUUUUAGAGUCUUUGAAAUAGUGAAAGCAUUAUCUGGACUAUUUAUUUUAUUUUCAAGGUUAAUUCAUAUAUUUAUAGAUUUACUUGUUUAUAGAUCUUUUUGAUGAAACAUGUUUGGAG